UCGGAUCAGAGAUGGAGGCUUUAAUCACAAAUCUUGCUUCAGGAAAACGGCGUACCUACAUUGUCAUCAUUGUGAUCUUUACCAUUUCUGUUUUAUUUAGCGGCAACUUUGAAUGCACUUGCAAAUCACAAGCAUCUGACUGCAGCAUUUACAUGUUUCUGCCUUCUAUAAUAAUAUUUCUCUUAAUGCUGUGGACCAGCAACUCCUUUCAGAGAGUCUCUAGAUUCACAUGUGAUGGUACAUGUGGCUCUAAAUGCUGCAGGUUUUGCGGUUCGUUUAUCCGUCGCUUUUUAAAGGCAUCUUUGGUUAGUGUGCUGUGGGCUGCGUAUCUGUUUUUCCGUGGAGACUGGUAUGUCUGCUGUAUGAGCCGUCUCUCUAACAGAACAGACGAGGCACAGUUGCCCUGCAAAGACAAGUGGAAGCUCACUAUUGAGGAGCGACUACGCAUCACUGAGCUGAACAACGAGUCCAGGAGAGUUGGCUACUUUUUUGCUCAUGUUUGUCAAUGGAGCAACAGCACUGAUAUCAUUAAUUAACUGGAGAAAAUGCUGUAAAAAAAUAUCAAGUCGCUUUGACAGAAGAAAAACUUAUUACAAACUGAUUUUGGAGGAGGAGGGCAUGGUGCGGAAAGAACUUCUAAGGAAAAAGGCAAAAAAUAAUGUGACUGAUUUCCUGAAGACAAUGAUUGAGGAAGGACAAUGGGAAAAAUGUUUCAAUGUUGCAGAAGAACUGAUUAAAAGGGAAGAGAACUCACUUUUUGAACUGGAGGAGGCCAGAACAGUUCAGUUUCAGCACCUUCAGUCAUCUGACUCAGAACAAAGGCUACUGGAGAUUUGUGAAGGCUGACCACUUGAAUCCAAAUGCAUUAAGAACAGCGUUUUUUUGUUUUUUUCUUAAUUUACGUCCCUGCUUUUUAUAUUUGUAUUACAGAAGCAAGGAAGUUACGUUUUUACAGUUCAUAUGUUUGUACUUCUACUUAAGCAGAGAAUAUCUGUACUUGCACCACUUCAGGUGUUAGCAGCCAGAUGGCAGACUGGUGAAAUGCCCAGGGUGUUGGGUAACCUGUCUCCCACCUUGUGACAGUAAGAAUAGGAUCCAGACCAAUUAAGAUGCUGAAUUAGAUAAAUAGAAUAAAAUGGAUAAAUUUAUUUGCAGUAGCAGUUACAGAAGACUUUUUGAAAAAAAAAUGUAAAUACUUCUUUUUUUUUUCUUCUUCUUCUUAGUUUUCUCAUUAGGGCAUUCUUGCUGAAAGUGUGGUCGCAAAUUUUGAAGCCGUCAUGAUAAGCUUAUCCCACCAAUGAUGUGGAUCCAACUUUUUUUUUAGAUCCAAAUAAAAUCAUUGCACUCAAAAAGAUCCUCUGGAAAAGAGUAGAAUUCUUGGAACAGAGUUUAAUACACUAUUAAUAUGAGCAGUAAGAAAAUGCAUACAGAGAAUGGUGAGGCGAUACACAGCAGAAAGCAAGCGAAGCAAAACCCUGGGGUAUACAGCCUUAAGCACAGACAACAGAGAUGGACAGAAAGCAGCA
Molecule: long non-coding RNA, 1526 nt
Organism: Oreochromis niloticus (Nile tilapia)
Lineage: Eukaryota; Metazoa; Chordata; Actinopteri; Cichliformes; Cichlidae
Exons: 3
Source: RefSeq, a predicted model, not a curated record